Molecule: unclassified non-coding RNA, 283 nt
Filed under: uncultured Cephalotrichum
Lineage: Eukaryota; Fungi; Ascomycota; Sordariomycetes; Microascales; Microascaceae
Description: sequence contains ITS2
Rfam family: 5.8S ribosomal RNA (bases 1-53)
Source: RNAcentral
GAACGCACAUUGCGCCCGGCAGUAAUCUGCCGGGCAUGCCUGUCCGAGCGUCAUUUCUGCCCUCGAGCCGGUCCAGCAUCUAGGUGCUGCUCCGGCCCGGCGUUGGGGCACUACGGGAAGCCUCGUGCUAUCCCCCGUAGGCCCCGAAAUGAAGUGGCGGUCCUGCCGCGGCUCCCCCUGCGUAGUAUUACAGCUCGCUUCGGGACCCGGUGGAGGCCUGCCGUCAAACCUUACUCUCUAAGUUUGACCUCGGAUCAGGUAGGGUUACCCGCUGAACUUAAGC